AGCCUUAUGGCGAGGGAUAGAACACCUGCCUUCUAAGCAGGUGGUCGGCAGUUCGAAUCUGCCCGGGGUUG
Molecule: transfer RNA, 71 nt
Filed under: Candidatus Omnitrophota bacterium
Lineage: Bacteria; Pseudomonadati; Candidatus Omnitrophota
Description: tRNA-Arg
Rfam family: tRNA
About the family: Transfer RNA (tRNA) molecules are approximately 80 nucleotides in length. Their secondary structure includes four short double-helical elements and three loops (D, anti-codon, and T loops). Further hydrogen bonds mediate the characteristic L-shaped molecular structure. tRNAs have two regions of fundamental functional importance: the anti-codon, which is responsible for specific mRNA codon recognition, and the 3' end, to which the tRNAs corresponding amino acid is attached (by aminoacyl-tRNA synthetases). tRNAs cope with the degeneracy of the genetic code in two manners: having more than one tRNA (with a specific anti-codon) for a particular amino acid; and 'wobble' base-pairing, i.e. permitting non-standard base-pairing at the 3rd anti-codon position.
Source: RNAcentral